Molecule: ribosomal RNA, 696 nt
Filed under: uncultured bacterium
Lineage: Bacteria
Description: bacterial SSU rRNA
Rfam family: Bacterial small subunit ribosomal RNA
Source: RNAcentral
AGUAACACGUGAGUAACCUGCCCUUGACUCUGGGAUAACUGCUAGAAAUGGUAGCUAAUACCGGAUACGACCCUCGGCCGCAUGGUCAGGGGGUGGAAAGAAUUUUGGUCAAGGAUGGACUCGCGGCCUAUCAGGUAGUUGGUGAGGUAAUGGCUCACCAAGCCUACGACGGGUAGCCGGCCUGAGAGGGUGACCGGCCACACUGGGACUGAGACACGGCCCAGACUCCUACGGGAGGCAGCAGUGGGGAAUAUUGCACAAUGGGCGAAAGCCUGAUGCAGCAACGCCGCGUGAGGGACGACGGCCUUCGGGUUGUAAACCUCUUUUAGUAGGGAAGAAGCGAAAGUGACGGUACCUGCAGAAAAAGCACCGGCUAACUACGUGCCAGCAGCCGCGGUAAUACGUAGGGUGCAAGCGUUGUCCGGAAUUAUUGGGCGUAAAGAGCUCGUAGGCGGUUUGUCGCGUCUGCUGUGAAAUCCGGAGGCUCAACCUCCGGCCUGCAGUGGGUACGGGCAGACUAGAGUGCGGUAGGGGAGAUUGGAAUUCCUGGUGUAGCGGUGGAAUGCGCAGAUAUCAGGGGGAACACCAAUGGCGAAGGCAGAUCUCUGGGCCGUAACUGACGCUGAGGAGCGAAAGCAUGGGGAGCGAACAGGAUUAGAUACCCUGGUAGUCCAUGCCGUAAACGUUGGGAACUAG